AUGAACGCUGGCGGCGUGCCUAAUACCUGCCAGUCGAGCGAACAGACGAGGAGCUUGCUCCUCUGACGUUAGCGGCGGACGGGUGAGUAACACGUGGAUAACCUACCUAUAAGACUGGGAUAACUUCGGGAAACCGGAGCUAAUACCGGAUAAUAUAUUGAACCGCAUGGUUCAAUAGUUAAAGACGGUUUUGCUGUCACUUAUAGAUGGAUCCGCGCCGCAUUAGCUAGUUGGUAAGGUAACGGCUUACCAAGGCAACGAUGCGUAGCCGACCUGAGAGGGUGAUCGGCCACACUGGAACUGAGACACGGUCCAGACUCCUACGGGAGGCAGCAGUAGGGAAUCUUCCGCAAUGGGCGAAAGCCUGACGGAGCAACGCCGCGUGAGUGAUGAAGGUCUUCGGAUCGUAAAACUCUGUUAUUAGGGAAGAACAAAUGUGUAAGUAACUAUGCACGUCUUGACGGUACCUAAUCAGAAAGCCACGGCUAACUACGUG
RNAcentral lists this ribosomal RNA (496 nucleotides) under uncultured bacterium. Its description in RNAcentral is "partial 16S ribosomal RNA". It matches the Rfam family "Bacterial small subunit ribosomal RNA", at positions 29 to 507 of the family's 1533-position model. The record is from RNAcentral.